Molecule: ribosomal RNA, 453 nt
Filed under: uncultured Cytophagales bacterium
Lineage: Bacteria; Pseudomonadati; Bacteroidota; Sphingobacteriia; Sphingobacteriales
Description: bacterial SSU rRNA
Rfam family: Bacterial small subunit ribosomal RNA
Source: RNAcentral
ACGGAAGGCAGCAGUAGGGAAUAUUGGUCAAUGGAUGGAAGUCUGAACCAGCCAUGCCGCGUGCAGGAAGAAGGCGUUAUGCGUUGUAAACUGCUUUUGCCAGGGGAUAAAAAGGGAGUGCGCUCCAAAUUGAAGGUACCUGGUGAAUAAGCCACGGCUAACUACGUGCCAGCAGCCGCGGUAAUACGUAGGUGGCGAGCGUUGUCCGGAUUUAUUGGGUUUAAAGGGUGCGUAGGCGGCUAUUUAAGUCAGCGGUGAAAUAUCUCAGCUUAACUGAGAGGGUGCCAUUGAUACUGGAUAGCUUGAGUACAGAUGAGGUAGGCGGAAUUGACGGUGUAGCGGUGAAAUGCAUAGAUAUCGUCAAGAACACCGAUAGCGAAGGCAGCUUACCAAGCUGUAACUGACGCUGAGGCACGAAAGUGUGGGGAUCAAACAGGAUUAGAUACCCUGGUA